AUCAACAUUAAAAUCAGAGCUAGUAUGUAUAGACAUCUAUAAAAGUCAGGACACAUGGUGAUUAUCUUGGCAAAUGUUAGCUAUUAAUUUUUAUAUUUUGUAAGAGAGAAAAUUGAGCUGACAGAUAGAAAUAGUCAGUGAGACUGAAGAUCUAAUUUCAUCUGUGCUUAUCAAUGACCAGGCAGUGGAUGGUGUUCCAUAAGCAGGUGGUGAUGGAUUCGUUUGGUCUGUGGCACAGUCAGUGAUUAAUCAAGGGGAGGAGAUAUAUGCUGUUUUUGAUCAGUGGUACACUGUGGGCCAUGGAGCUAGCCAUGGGGAACUCUAGGAUCCUAGAAAAGCUUUUCUACCCAUUUCAAAGCCAUUCAAAUGCAACUUCAGUUCCGAUUUGUGUCCUUGAUUGUGGGAUGAAGAUAACAACAGCAGACCCAAAACAGGAAAAGAUGAGACACAUGUUUUGAGGCUCAAUUGGUUAUUCUGAGGAUUCUUCCAGAGCCAGAAGUGAACAGGCACAGAAAAUUUAGAUUUCUACUGACAUGGUAUGGGCAAUACUGACUCAAAAAUUCAAAGCUGAAGAAACAUAACAGGAAGAUGGAUGCCAACUACAUCAGAUUUUAGUGUUCAGAACAUGGAGGACAUGGUAUCCAGCUAGAGGUGGAAAUGGAAAGAGAAUCGCAAAGCCAAGUGCAACUUGAAGUGAAGUUGACGAGAGGUGUUGAUGACUCACAGAGAACUGGUACUGCUAGACACAGAGGAAAGCAGGUGGAUUCCAGCUGUAUUUUGGAUGUUUAAUAUACAUGACUCCAUGGUUCAUUGAAUGCAAGAGUUAAGAAAGAGAUCUGGUGUAAACAUUAUGCAUUCAUGCUGUAGAUUCUUCGAUUCCUCUAUCAGGAAGAAUUGCCUACCUUGUGCUUACUCAACAUAGUCGAUUGCUGAGCAACAUUCUUUGCCAUAUAUGCUGUUGAUGUGUCUGUCUGUUUCUCCACUUAAAGUGGGGGAGAAUGAGCUACUUGAGAAAGUGUUGAGAAACAAAACCACAGAGAUGCCCUGAGUUCUGCAUUCCCAUUGACAAGUCACUAGGAAGAGUAAGGUCAGCUCUGAACUCUGCCAAGUUCUGCCUUUAGUGCUGCAGCAUGAAAUGAGUAUGAGUCCAAAAUUCACCUGGCUAUGGUCAAGUGUGAACUGUCCUGCAUGGAUUUAGAUGUUUGAAUACUUGGUACCAAGAUGAUACCACUGUUUGGGAAGGUUGUGGAACUUUCAGGAGGAGGAGAAUUGCUGGUGGAAAUGGACCACUGGGGAUGAACCCAAGGCUUCCUAUUUGGUCUCUGCUUCCUGAGUGUGGAUAUAAUGUGAUCAGCCAGCCUCCUGGUCUUGUCACCAUGCCUAUUCCCUCAUCUUUCCCUGCAUGAUGGAGUGUACCCCACUGGAAUUGCAAGACAAAAAUAAAACAGUGAGAAAUUAACAAGGACAAUCUUA
This is a long non-coding RNA of Peromyscus eremicus (cactus mouse), 1473 nucleotides long. RefSeq lists it as uncharacterized. The transcript has 8 exons. Lineage: Eukaryota; Metazoa; Chordata; Mammalia; Rodentia; Cricetidae. The record is from RefSeq and is a predicted model, not a curated record.